This 497-nucleotide ribosomal RNA is filed under the name uncultured bacterium. RNAcentral describes it as "partial 16S ribosomal RNA". It matches the Rfam family "Bacterial small subunit ribosomal RNA", at positions 28 to 507 of the family's 1533-position model. The record is from RNAcentral.
GAUGAACGCUGGCGGCGUGCCUAAUACAUGCAAGUCGAGCGAACGGACGAGAAGCUUGCUUUUCUGAUGUUAGCGGCGGACGGGUGAGUAACACGUGGAUAACCUACCUAUAAGACUGGGAUAACUUCGGGAAACCGGAGCUAAUACCGGAUAAUAUUUUGAACCGCAUGGUUCAAAAGUGAAAGACGGUCUUGCUGUCACUUAUAGAUGGAUCCGCGCUGCAUUAGCUAGUUGGUAAGGUAACGGCUUACCAAGGCAACGAUGCAUAGCCGACCUGAGAGGGUGAUCGGCCCAACCGGAACUGGAACAAGGUCCCAACUCCUAAGGGAGGGAAGAAGAGGGAAUCCUCCGGAAAUGGGCGAAGGCCGAAGGAGGAAACGCGGGGGGGGGAAGGAGGUUCUCGGAUCGGAAAACCUCUUUAUUAGGGAAAAAAAUAUGUUGAAGGAACUGGUCACAACUUGGAGGGAACUAAACAGAAAGGCACGGCCAAACACGUG